This 432-nucleotide ribosomal RNA is filed under the name Printzina sp. TreFl 135. RNAcentral describes it as "SSU rRNA". It matches the Rfam family "Eukaryotic small subunit ribosomal RNA", at positions 1300 to 1759 of the family's 1831-position model. Lineage: Eukaryota; Viridiplantae; Chlorophyta; Ulvophyceae; Trentepohliales; Trentepohliaceae. The record is from RNAcentral.
GGUGGGUUGGCUUGUCAGGUUGAUUCCGGUAACGAACGAGACCUCAGCCUGCUAAAUAGUAGCUCCCGGUUCGCCGGGAGGCAGACUUCUUAGAGGGACUAUUAGCGACUAUCAGCUAAUUGAAGUAUGAGGCAAUAACAGGUCUGUGAUGCCCUUAGAUGUUCUGGGCCGCACGCGCGCUACACUGACGCAAUCAACGAGCCUCCUGGUCUCGAGAGGAUCGGGUAAUCUUGUAAACUGCGUCGUGAUGGGGCUAGAGCUUUGUAAUUAUUGCUCUUCAACGAGGAAUGCCUAGUAAGCGCGAGUCAUCAGCUCGCGUUGAUUACGUCCCUGCCCUUUGUACACACCGCCCGUCGCUCCUUCCGAUUGGGUGUGCUGGUGAAGAGUUCGGACUGGACCUGGCUAGCAAUAGCCCCGGUACGGGAAGUCCUU